This 6247-nucleotide long non-coding RNA is filed under the name Sus scrofa (pig). Its description in RNAcentral is "lncRNA (ENSSSCG00055028464.1)". Lineage: Eukaryota; Metazoa; Chordata; Mammalia; Artiodactyla; Suidae. The record is from RNAcentral.
AUUUGCUCACACCCAGCGGGGAGAGGAGGCAGCCUCCUGCCAGCACUGCCACCUGCCCAUGCAAAUCAGCCCCAGGAGAGCAGCUGGGCCCCUCCCGCUCCUGCCUCCCAGCGAUGCUCCUGGGGAGGCCUUGGGGAAGAUGCCACCUCGGGCGCUGCGCCUUCCUCCUCGGCGUGGCCCUUCUGUUCGACGCCGUGGGCCUGGUCCUUUUGCUCCUGGGCAUCCUCGCCCCUCUCGACUACUGGGACUUCUUGGUCUAUACGGGGUCCCUGAUCCUGGCCUUCAGCCUUCUCUUCUGGGUCACCUGGUAUUCCCUCAACAUCGAGGUGCCGCUUGAGAAACUGGACUUGUAGUUCGGCUGUGGGCAGAGGAGGAGGGACGCAGGCUUCCUGGGCCGGCAGAGGAGCCGGGGCACGCCGCUGCUCCUGCCCAAAACGCCCCGCCGGGGACCAGCCAGGUCCUUCUGCUGGAGAAGCAUCAAAGCAGACCGAUGCCCUGUCUUUGCAGCACUUCCCGUAGACCCAGGAGGAACCAGAGGCCAUAAGACACAGGCUCCCAAAGCCCCACUAGGAUGCCCAGGAAUGGCCACAAGCGCCAGGCGUCUUGCACGCUCCGUCAAAAGACUGGCACUCCAGAUCUGGGCCCCUGACACCACUGCUGGCACCCCAGCUGUUUGGGAGGGUCUGGGAAGCCCCGAACUUUCACGCAGUGGGGCUUUUAUGGCAACAGCUCUACUGUGGGCUUGGACACCGAACGAACGAGAAGUCCCGGCCUCCACUGUUCCUCUUGUCAAUUUUCCUCACGGAACUACUGAGGCCAAGUACAAAAGUCCAAGGGGGCCUCCUGUGAGCAGGUAUCACUCGGAAUCGCAGCCGCUUCCACCCCUCGGCUCUGGAUGGACCGUGAGCCCCGGAGCCGUGGGAGCUGCACGCAUCCGCAUCCCUCAUCCAUGUCUCGGUACCGGCCCGACGGCACGCAGCGGCGCAUUUCAACAUGCUGGCUCCAGAGGCCAAGUGCAGAGCCAUGGCUGAGCGCGGGAGGCCCCUCCUCGGUGCUGGACACUGGGCACCACCUGUGCUGCCUGCCCUGUGAUAGCCAGGCCACGUGGGGGCUCACACCGAGCUUUAAGUCACAUGAAACCCUCCGGGCAGGUUUCGGACCAGCAAGCUCGAUUCUGCCACGCUGUCCCUGUGUCACUCACCCAUUUCUUGAUCCUGAGAGCAGGACUCUAUUGCUGUCUUAAUUCAAUUGCCUCUAGUCAAAUGCAACCCAAAUACAGCAACUAGGAGGGUCCACCUUCACGGUUCAUCAGACGGGCUCAUGCCAGUCACCUGUGCUUGAGCUGCCCCUCGAAUUUAUAUUUCUCUGCCCUAAUUUUAUACUGUUUAUUUAUGUCUCACCAUAAAUGGGGAUGUGUUCCUUAGAAGCUGCCUUAGAUCUUUUAUGGUUUGACGUAGCUACCUAAAUUAAAAAGUCAAUGGGCCUUUUGUUUUAACAUGACCUAACCUCUUUCUGAGUCUUCAUGGUUUCACAGUAACUCCCAAACAGCCAGCAAGAGGGAAUUUUCUUCCCAUUCGUUCAACCUGCCUCCUUGCAAAUCCUGGAAUUCCACACUCAGCACAGCCCCUCUGGGAAGGAAACACACAGAGCCCGGUCAAUACAGACAGUACAUAGGUUAUCCUGACAGCAAGGAAUCUUCUGGAAGCUCUGUGCUCAGCCACCUGCCUGGCUUCUCAGAAGCAGGCUGGACGCGGGCACCUGAGGGGUAUCAUGAGAGAACAUUUCAGAUGAGGCAUCGAGAAGACGAACCAUUCCUUAGGAAGACCCUCGUUGGAGGUCUCUUCAGGAGACCAACACAGGUUUUCACUCUAGAAAUGGAACAGGUUUCUGCCUCUUUGGCUGGGAACCAAAUGGAAUUGUUGGCUUUUGUUUCACAGCAGCCACAUUGUUGUUCAAAAUAUGCAAAUCUUGAGAAGCCAGGAUCACGCUCAGCCCAGAGCAUCUGCUCACAUCUGCGAGGGGCGGGAGGUGCUGAGGCUGCUGGGCGGGAGCAGCCUCCGACGGCGUCACGCUCCCUCGGGGAUGGCCUCCUGGCCUACAGCUCCUCCUUCACCCUCUCCUCUGGCUGGCAGAGUUCUCUAUACAGUGCCUGGUCCAGCUUCUGAAACAUCUCCCGAAUAAGAGGGCGUGUUUCUGCAGGGCGGGCAUCGGAUGCCUCAGGAGGCUGUGUGCAGAGUAAACCUGCCAUUAAAAGUCGGCGGUGAAGUGAAUGCAACUCGAGCCUUUGCAUGAACCCCCGGAAGUAAAAGGGGGUUCACACAGGAGGGCUUCCUAGAAUUUAGCUCCGACUGUCUGGGGGUCCCGGUUAAAAGCCGAACUAAGAAGGCACACAGGCAAUGCAUGUGCAGGGUGGGGGUGUUCCCUCGGGGCGAGGCUAGGUCUGCAGCUGAGCUUCCGCCAGGACAGGACAGGACAGGACCUCAGGGGCCCCCUAUGGCACAGAACGAGGGGCCACAAGCGGCAAACUCGAGCCCAGAGAUGGCAAGAGCGGCCCUCCACAGACUGCGCAGAUCACCUGGGGAUCUCAUUAAAUGCAGAUUCUGAUUCGGUCGUCCAGGGAGGGGCCAGGGACUGUGCAUUUCUAACAAGCACCCAGGGGACACCACUGCUGCAUUAAAAAUAGUGUCUUUAAGACACUUUGCAGAGUGAGGAUCUGGAAGAACUCUGUUGUUUUAGAGAAGGGGACCCUGACGCCUACAGGUUCAAGCAGCUAAAGAGCAGCAGAGCCAGGACCACGGCCCAGAGCUCCAGGCUGUGGGUCCAGCCUUCCGUCCCCACGUGAGCUGUUGACGAGUUCUCCUGAGCCUCGGGCAGAGCGAGCAGGGCCGCGGCCAGGGCAGGUGAGGCACGCUCACACUCAGGUGAGUCAUGAACCGACGUGCCUCCCUCUUCAGCCUGGCUGUGCCACAUGCCGGGGAGUGCAGUCCUGAGCAGCUUCCACGCUGCUCUGUGUCACCACAGACGCCAGAGCCAAGCAGGAUGGAGAUGGAGGAGGAAACAGGAGUGGCUGCGUUUCCACCAGGCAGGGUCCCCCAGAGCCCCGCCAGGUCUGAUCUGGGUUCGUCCUCCCAGAAAGUUCUCCCAACAGGCGGGGCAGGGGGAGCCUCCUACCACUCUCCACGGCCAGCUCCUCGGCCCCUCCUGCCACCUGCUGCCUUGAGAGCCAGCUGCUCUUUCUCAGUGACCUGACUCGGUUGACUCCCAUUCACAAGCUGAGUGACCCUCGCCUACGGGGGAGAGUAACGGUGACAUCACAGUCACAAGGAUCAAAUGCGAUGCAGCACAGGCUCCCUGAGACGCACAGCCUCCCGAACACACAGCUUACAGCGUCUUGUCAAAACAUGGAGCUGCUAAGCUUGGGUCCUCUCCCCAGAUGCCCAGCGACUCCAGGACCUCAGGACCUGUCGCCCAUAAAGCUAGUUGCAAGUCUGCUGCUCAUAAUCACGUCCAUGCGUCACAAGACCUCGUCCACUGCUUCCCCCAGAGAGAACCCGCAGGACCUGCAAAGCCGGGACAGAUGGGAAUCUAGGGGCAAGGGUGGGUCCAGCCCCACUGUGCAGCUCCCCCCGCCCUGUCCACAGCCCCAAAGCCCCUCCGAUGCAACGUAUUUCUCGGUGAAAUUACAGGGUAGUAGAGGAGGCAGAUCAGAAGUGGAGUCCACCAGGGUUGAGGCCAGCUCCGAAAUGAAGGACCAAAGAGCCUUCUGGGUAAAGACUAAUCCUAAGAGAAAAGAGAGUCAGGCAGACAAGCGUGGCCGCCAAACAAACCCUCAACACAGGUAUGCUCCGCUUCCGCCACCUCACAACAACCUGUUUGUUCUCAGGGAAGAAGGACCAUAAGAAGGAUUAGGCAAGUUUUGGGGAAAACCUGUAUGAGAUAUGGGGGUCCACAUGUUAUCAUUUGGAUGCACCCAGCAAGCUCCUGGUUGACCCAAGGAUGUCUGGCAAAAAAGUGACCUGGGAGGCACUAAGAGCUGACUGGACCUGGGCAUGAGCUGAACGGGCUGUCAGGACUCCCAAAUGUGUCUCGGCGGGGCAGGCACACAAGGCAGAGAGCGACCGGGACAGCAGCAAAUCACUCCUUGCCAGGUUACUCCUUGCCCGGUUAUCUGGGAGAAAUGUCCAGACCUGGAGAAACUGCAAAGCAGCCUAGGGGUGGCAGGGGUCCCCAGGUGAGAAGGGAGUGGCCAAGGACUAAAGGUGGCAGGCCCCGGGGCAGCUGCACCUGCCGUAGCCGCAGCCACAGCCCCCUCCCUCCCUUCUCCUCUCACCACACACUCACUUGGGCCUCCUCCCCUCCGGUCCCAAAGGGGGCCCCACUGGGAGGGAGAUCCUUCAGCACUCUGAAGAUGGGAACUCUCAGGAAAGGGAGGGGAAGGGGAGGUACGGGUUCCCACAGGUGCCCCCCCCCCCGCAUUUCUGCAAGGGCCUCACCAUGCCGGGCUGGUGCCCCCAAACUCCCCAAGUCAGCAUGCAAAGAGAGGAUCUGCAUCCAGACCCUGCAUUUUACAGGGCAACAGCCUAGACGCUGCUUCCGCAUCCGGGCACCUGCUGGGCAAGGCUCUAGGACCGUGUUCUUCCUUCCUGCCUCUGCUUCUCCCCUGAGCCCAGGGCUUCCACAUCAGCCCCCGGCCUGGACUAAGCAGCCUUCUUCCUCUUCGCCAGCUUCACUUCCCAGCCUCGGGCCCCACCCCCCUGGGGAGGGGGAGGCCCUCUGGAUUCUGCUCACGUAGGGUUGGGUGCUGCCAGCACACAGCCUCCGCUGGCAUGUGCCCUCCCCUGACCCCAUCUUUCUGACUGGCCCUCCUCACCCCCCUCCAUCUGGGGCUCUGGGGCCAGAGCUUCUGGAGCCCACAUCCACCUCCCUGACCACAGACAGCCUCCAGCUUCUGACCAGAACCGGAAGCAGGGACUCUCAAGGUACAUCCAGGACCACAGGUCAGCUCAGGUGGAACUUUCCAGAAGGGGACCACCUCACCCCAGUGUGCCCGCCUGGGUACUGGAGUCCCACCUCAGACUGGAAAUGAGGGGGGCAGGGCCCCGCCGUCCUGCUCAUCGAGCCCUGGGGGGUUUCUGAAGAGUUUCUACCAGAAGAAGCUUUGAAGCUGAACUUGUACUUGGGGGCUGCCCUCCAGGUGACGCUAUUCCCUCCACCACCUCCCUGGGCACAGCCCAGCAAACCUGGAAAGGCCUGGGGUCUGGAAAGAACCCUAAGGAGCCUCUGCUCUUGGGGCUCCACAUCAAGACCCUCCUCUAUUAUUUCCCCCAUAUCUCCCAUAUUGUCUGAAAAUGCGUUGUCUUCCAAAGAGACUAAUCGUUAAGGAAUAAGGAAUUCAUUUCCCCAUGAUUUAUUAAUCAAACCCAUCCGUAGCUGGGUAUGCAAAAAGCAGAAAACAGAUGUAUUAUGGUUUCCAUUAGAGUUUUUGAAACAUUUACAACAACCCAUUACAACCACCGCGAACCCUGGGGAUCCGGGGAAGACAGAUUCCAGAUCUCCACUGCGGGAGUGAACAGAGUGGCAGGAAAUGGCCCACGAUGAACGAAAGGCUGGCAGGCUCUUCCACCCUCCCCGCACCGGCCCGCUCAGGACUUUGCCCCUUCCAGGAACUCCACCCUCCCUCCGUUUCUGAGUUUCCCCACAGGGCAUCUCAAAGACUCCAGAACAAGGCCGGAGAACCCAGAGACGCCGGCGGGCCACGGGCUGCUGCCCCUGCCCCCUCCUGCCCAGCUCCACACCAGACACACCUCCUCCUCCUGAAAACACCUCUGAGGGUCUUCAGUCUCCACCAUCAAACGCAGCGGAGCCCCCACAAGACGCCAGGCUAAUGGGGGGUGGGUGUGGCUCGUGGGGAGUAAGCCUCUGUUCCCCUGGGUCAGGACAAUCUCACACCCAAGCUGCCUGGCCACAGAGAUUUUAGCAAGGAUUUCAAGCGCUAGAGAAAGGAUUUCCUCCUAUGGAGCCCCAAUUCAAAUGCAGAUUCAGGGGAGGGUGGAGCUGGAGCCAGUGCCAGUGAUUCAUCCAACCUUCUUCCCUCAGAGACCAAGGCCCUGCCUCUGCUUCUCCUGUUGCUCAGGACACUUGUCAACCGAGGCAUCUCAAGGCAGAGGAGAGGAAGAACGGGCCAGGGAGGGAGCUGGGAGAAGCCUGCCGCUAACAAGAAACUUCUGGAAAACUUAUUAUGAAAAUC